Molecule: transfer RNA, 76 nt
Filed under: Nitrosomonadaceae bacterium
Lineage: Bacteria; Pseudomonadati; Pseudomonadota; Betaproteobacteria; Nitrosomonadales; Nitrosomonadaceae
Description: tRNA-Arg
Rfam family: tRNA
About the family: Transfer RNA (tRNA) molecules are approximately 80 nucleotides in length. Their secondary structure includes four short double-helical elements and three loops (D, anti-codon, and T loops).
Source: RNAcentral
GCCUUGGUAGCUCAGUGGAUAGAGCGACCCCCUCCUAAGGGGUAGGUCGUAAGUUCGAUUCUUACCCAGGGCACCA